Molecule: ribosomal RNA, 447 nt
Filed under: uncultured bacterium
Lineage: Bacteria
Description: bacterial SSU rRNA
Rfam family: Bacterial small subunit ribosomal RNA
Source: RNAcentral
ACUCCUACGGGAGGCAGCAGUAGGGAAUAUUGGACAAUGGGCGAAAGCCUGAUCCAGCAAUGCCGCGUGAGUGAUGAAGGCCUUAGGGUUGUAAAGCUCUUUUACCCGGGAUGAUAAUGACAGUACCGGGAGAAUAAGCUCCGGCUAACUCCGUGCCAGCAGCCGCGGUAAUACGGAGGGAGCUAGCGUUGUUCGGAAUUACUGGGCGUAAAGCGCACGUAGGCGGCUAUUCAAGUCAGAGGUGAAAGCCCGGGGCUCAACCCCGGAACUGCCUUUGAAACUAGAUAGCUUGAAUCCAGGAGAGGUGAGUGGAAUUCCGAGUGUAGAGGUGAAAUUCGUAGAUAUUCGGAAGAACACCAGUGGCGAAGGCGGCUCACUGGACUGGUAUUGACGCUGAGGUGCGAAAGCGUGGGAGCAAACAGGAUUAGAUACCCUGGUAGCGACUGA